AGACGAAGGUGGCGAGCGUUACUCGGAUUUACUGGGCAUAAAGCGCGCGUAGGCGGCUCGAUCAGUCGGUGGUGAAAGCCCGCGGCUCAACCGCGGAACUGCCCCCGAUACUGUCGAGCUUGAGUGCAAGAGGGGUAACCGGAACUCCAGGUGUAGCGGUGAAAUGCGUAGAUAUCUGGAGGAACACCAGAGGCGAAGGCGGGUUACUGGACUGACACUGACGCUAAGGCGCGAAAGCUAGGGGAGCGAACAGAAUUAGAUACCCCAGUAGUCC
Molecule: ribosomal RNA, 274 nt
Filed under: uncultured bacterium
Lineage: Bacteria
Description: partial 16S ribosomal RNA
Rfam family: Bacterial small subunit ribosomal RNA
Source: RNAcentral